Molecule: ribosomal RNA, 426 nt
Filed under: uncultured bacterium
Lineage: Bacteria
Description: bacterial SSU rRNA
Rfam family: Bacterial small subunit ribosomal RNA
Source: RNAcentral
GUGAGGAAUUUUCCGCAAUGGGCGAAAGCCUGACGGAGCAAUGCCGCGGGAAGGAUGAAGGCCUAUGGGUUGUAAACUUCUUUUCUCAGAAAAGAAUUAUGACGGUAUCUGAGGAAUAAGCAUCGGCUAACUCUGUGCCAGCAGCCGCGGUAAGACAGAGGAUGCAAGCGUUCUCCGGAAUGAUUGGGCGUAAAGCGUCUGUAGGUUGUUUAAAAAGUAUUCUGUCAAAGAUUAGGGCUUAAACCUAGAUAGGCAGAAUAAACUUUUAAGCUAGAGUUUGGUAGAGGCAGAGGGAAUUCCCGGUGGAGCGGUGAAAUGCGUAGAUAUCGGGAGGAACACCAAAGGCGAAGGCACUCUGCUGGGCCAAGACUAACACUGAGAGACGAAAGCGAGGGGAGCAAAUGGGAUUAGAAACCCUUGUAGUCC